GACGAACGCUGGCGGCGUGCUUAACACAUGCAAGUCGAACGGUGAAGCGCCUUCCUUUUUGGUGGGUGUGGAUGAGUGGCGAACGGGUGAGUAACACGUGAGUAACCUGCCCCCUUCUUCUGGAUAACCGCAUGAAAGUGUGGCUAAUACGGGAUAUUCUGGGUCUGUCGCAUGAUGGGUCUGGGAAAGAUAUUGUUUCGGUGGGGGAUGGGCUCGCGGCCUAUCAGCUUGUUGGUGGGGUGAUGGCCUACCAAGGCGGUGACGGGUAGCCGGCCUGAGAGGGUGGACGGUCACACUGGGGCGGAGACACGGCCCAGACUCCUACGGGAGGCAGCAGUGGGGAAUAUUGCACAAUGGGCGGAAGCCUGAUGCAGCGACGCCGCGUGAGGGAUGGAGGCCUUCGGGUUGUGAACCGCUUUCGCCAGUGAAGCAGGCCUGCCUCGUUUGUGGGUGGGUUGACGGUAGCUGGAUAAGAAGCGCCGGCUAACUACGUG
This 494-nucleotide ribosomal RNA is filed under the name uncultured bacterium. RNAcentral's name for it is "partial 16S ribosomal RNA". It matches the Rfam family "Bacterial small subunit ribosomal RNA", at positions 28 to 507 of the family's 1533-position model. The record is from RNAcentral.